CGGCCGCGUCGACGAUGGUUUCGGCUAUCACUUACAGAUGGGCCCGCGGCGCAUUAGCUAGUUGGUGAGGUAACGGCUCACCAAGGCAACGAUGCGUAGCCGACCUGAGAGGGUGAUCGGCCACACUGGGACUGAGACACGGCCCAGACUCCUACGGGAGGCAGCAGUAGGGAAUCUUCCACAAUGGACGAAAGUCUGAUGGAGCAACGCCGCGUGAGCGAUGAAGGCCCUUGGGUCGUAAAGCUCUGUUGUUAGGGAAGAACAAGUGCGAGAGUAACUGCUCGCACCUUGACGGUACCUAACCAGAAAGCCACGGCUAACUACGUGCCAGCAGCCGCGGUAAUACGUAGGUGGCAAGCGUUGUCCGGAAUUAUUGGUCGACGCGGCCG
This 389-nucleotide ribosomal RNA is filed under the name uncultured Bacillus sp. RNAcentral's name for it is "bacterial SSU rRNA". It matches the Rfam family "Bacterial small subunit ribosomal RNA", at positions 193 to 571 of the family's 1533-position model. Lineage: Bacteria; Bacillati; Bacillota; Bacilli; Caryophanales; Bacillaceae. The record is from RNAcentral.